This 431-nucleotide ribosomal RNA is filed under the name uncultured bacterium. RNAcentral's name for it is "partial 16S ribosomal RNA". It matches the Rfam family "Bacterial small subunit ribosomal RNA", at positions 29 to 505 of the family's 1533-position model. The record is from RNAcentral.
AACGAACGCUGGCGGCAUGCCUAACACAUGCAAGUCGAACGAGACCUUCGGGUCUAGUGGCGCACGGGUGCGUAACGCGUGGGAACCUGCCCUUAGGUUCGGAAUAACUCACCGAAGGGGGUGCUAAUACCGGAUAAUGUCUUCGGACCAAAGAUUUAUCGCCUUUGGAUGGGCCCGCGUUGGAUUCGGUGGUUGGUAGGGUAAAAGCCUACCAAGGCGACGAUCCAUAGGUGGUCGGAGAGGAUGAUCAGCCACACUGGGACUGCGACAGGGCCCAGACUGAUACGGGAGGCAGGAGUGGGGAAUAUUGGACAAGGGGCGAAAGCCGGAACCAGCAGUGCGGGGUGAGGGAUGAAGGGUUGAGGGUUGUAAAGCUCUUUUACCCGGGAUGAUAAUGACAGUACGGGGAGAAUAAGCUCGGUCUAACCCCG